Molecule: long non-coding RNA, 2064 nt
Organism: Teleopsis dalmanni
Lineage: Eukaryota; Metazoa; Arthropoda; Insecta; Diptera; Diopsidae
Exons: 6
Source: RefSeq, a predicted model, not a curated record
AAUAAAUAUAUUAUAUUUUGUACAAACUUUUUGGGUCAUUUUUAGAAAUCAAAAUUCUCCGUAAUAAAUUAUAUUUUUGGAAUCAUGGCUUUUGGAUUGUGUGGAGGUACACUGUUCCCAAAAUUUUUUCACGCACGAGUGUUGUCGUCUCCAUCGAAAAAAUUUAACUCAAUAUCGGAAAAGCGAGAUGAAGCACAAGAAGCAUUGGAUUUUGCUGAACCCAGAACAGUUUUACGUAAACUUCAGAAUGAUACGCAUAAAAUUCCACCGAUUACGCAACAAGUAACUCCAUUACAACGUUCAAUUGGUGUCGUUCCGCAUCCUAAGAUCGAAAAACGCUUACCGAGUCCCUACGGUGAUGGAUGCUCCUUAAGAUCAAAAGUGGAGAAGAUGUACGUGUAUCGUUAAAAUGAUGUUUGUCGCUAAUCCACUGUGUCGUCUCUAAAAUAUAUGUUCGUCAGCGUUAACAACCGUCAGCGUUUAAAAUUGGUUGUUUUUAAUACAGUGCAUGAAAUAAAUAUUGGAAAAUUAUAUAAAAUACGGCGAGAAUGAGCAUUUAUCAAACGUUCUCGAAAUGACGUGUGUCAGACUUGUGUCAGUUGGUGAAAGGAAACUUUAUAAACAUCCAACCAAAGUAUAGACCAAGCUCAUAUAUAAUUUCUACGCAGAUGACAAAGAGUCGAUUUAUAAAGUUGACACCAAAGAAUAAGAUCAAUUGAGAAAUGGUGUUGUAGUCCAAUGGUUAACAAUCCAAUGGUUAAAAAUGUUGAGAAUAAAACACAAUAAAGCGUAUGAUAGGUGUGUAUCCUUUAUGGAGUUGAAGUCUAUCUACUACGUAAAACCAUUCAUAACUAUAAGAGAAAAAACUUUCUCAAAUGAAGAAAGGAAAUCAACAACAGUGGUUCUUUCCUUAUUACCACAACUUCAGGAAGGUGCAUAUAAAAAUCCACCGAUUAGCAAUAUUUUACUAUGUUAUUAUAUUCUGUUGGUAUCAAUUCGCUUACUAAAAUCGAUUGACGAGUUCCAAGUCCAUAUAUUGAGGGAUGCUACUUGAGAGCAAAAGUAGAAAAGAUAAGUGUAUCAGCAAUAAGAAAGGAUAUAACUCAGUAAAUUCACUACGACGUUCCUUAUAAUACAUUCGUCAGAAUUUAAGCAAGUAACUAUCUUCCAUGUAGCCUGAUGUCAAAUCCCAUAAGCUAAGGAUUGAUUUUCUUCUGUUAAGAAUAUUGAUAUAUAAGUCUAAUAGAAUAAAAUAAGUCAAGCUUUAUUUUAUUCUCUUAAGUAUAUAUAUCAAUAAAUCUAAUAGUCUAAAACAAUUCUUUUAAAUUUCAUAACAAAGAGUGCAAUGAUAAAGUAAUGAAGUUACUGGCAGAACCGUCAGCGUCUAACAUCGAUUUCAAUAUAAUGCAAAAAAAGAAGAACCGAAGAAUUGUUAAAAUUCAGUGAAAAUCAGAAUUUAUCAAUCAGUCAAGAAAUAACGGGUGUUAAUGAAAAUUCAACCGGAGUAUUGACCAAAUUCUUGAAUGCUUUAUAUGCAGGCGAAAAGGACUAGAUUCAUAAAUUUGGAAACCAAAAUAAAUCCAAUCAUAAAGCAGUGCUCUAACAGUAGAAAAUGAAUGGAUUUUUAAAAUUGGAACUGAAAAACAUAUGAAAUCGGAAAGUAGUGCUCUAAGUGUAUGGUUACCUAACAAAAGUUGUUCAAAAAUAAAGCACCUUAAAGCAUUUAUGGCAGAGUUCUCGAUCUACAUCGUCCUCAGAAUUUAAGUCCAUCUAACUUUUUAAGAAGAAGAAAAGCAAACCAAUAACAGUAGUUUGUUUUUUUUACGUCAAUCUAAGCUUACGAAAAACAUAUUCAAACUGCAGUAUAUUAGAGGACUUAACACAACGACUUGAUGAAUCAUUCAUCAUCUGAUGUUAGGAUUCCAAUGAUCUAAUACUGCUGUCAAAUAAGAAAAAUUGGCUAUAAAACAAUACAUUUCGUUAACGGAGGAAAGAACUAACAUAUUAAGAACUGGUAUUUUAGAAAUACCUUAAUAAGUAGUAAAAUGCCAUGUAUUUCAAGAA